GACGAACGCUGGCGGCGUGCUUAACACAUGCAAGUCGAACUGAAAGGCCUCUUUCGGGGGGUACUCGAGUGGCGAACGGGUGAGUAACACGUGAGUAACCUGCCCUUGACUUUGGGAUAACUUCAGGAAACUGGGGCUAAUACCGGAUAGGAGCUCCUGCUGCAUGGUGGGGGUUGGAAAGUUUCGGCGGUUGGGGAUGGACUCGCGGCUUAUCAGCUUGUUGGUGGGGUAGUGGCUUACCAAGGCUUUGACGGGUAGCCGGCCUGAGAGGGUGACCGGCCACAUUGGGACUGAGAUACGGCCCAGACUCCUACGGGAGGCAGCAGUGGGGAAUAUUGCACAAUGGGUGGAAGCCUGAUGCAGCAACGCCGUGUGCGGGAGGACGGCCUUCGGGUUGUAAACCGCUUUCGCUCAUGACGAAGCUUUGUGUGACGGUAGUGGGUAAAGAAGCACCGGCUAACUACGUG
This 467-nucleotide ribosomal RNA is filed under the name uncultured bacterium. RNAcentral's name for it is "partial 16S ribosomal RNA". It matches the Rfam family "Bacterial small subunit ribosomal RNA", at positions 28 to 507 of the family's 1533-position model. The record is from RNAcentral.